RNAcentral lists this ribosomal RNA (490 nucleotides) under uncultured bacterium. Its description in RNAcentral is "partial 16S ribosomal RNA". It matches the Rfam family "Bacterial small subunit ribosomal RNA", at positions 29 to 507 of the family's 1533-position model. The record is from RNAcentral.
AGUGAACGCUGGCGGUAGGCCUAACACAUGCAAGUCGAACGGCAGCACAGUAGAGCUUUCUCCUUGCGUGUCGCGUGUCGGACGCGUGUGGAGUACAUCUCAAUCUCUCCAUUUUCGUGGGAUAUCACGUGGAAACUUUCACUCAUAUCCCACAUGCCCUCUGCGUGAGAGAGCGGGAUCUCUUCACCUCUCGCGCUUUUAUGUGCCGAUGUCGGAUUAGCUAGUUGGCGGGGUAAUGGCCCACCAAGGCGACGAUCCGUAGCUGGUCUGAGAGGAUGAUCAGCCACACUGGAACUGAGACACGGUCCAGACUCCUACGGGAGGCAGCAGUGGGGAAUAUUGGACAAUGGGCGCAAGCCUGAUCCAGCCAUACCGCGUGGGUGAAGAAGGCCUUCGGGUUGUAAAGCCCUUUUGUUGGGAAAGAAAACUAGCAGGCUAAUACCCUGGGGGGAUGACGGUACCCAAAGAAUAAGCACCGGCUAACUUCGUG